Molecule: ribosomal RNA, 448 nt
Filed under: uncultured Planctomycetota bacterium
Lineage: Bacteria; Pseudomonadati; Planctomycetota
Description: bacterial SSU rRNA
Rfam family: Bacterial small subunit ribosomal RNA
Source: RNAcentral
GCUUAGAGAGGGGUCAAUGUCCUAUCAGCUAGUUGGUAGGGUAAUGGCCUACCAAGGCUAAGACGGGUAGCCGGCCUGAGAGGGUGGUCGGCCACACUGGGACUGAGACACUGCCCAGACUCCUACGGGAGGCUGCAGUCGAGAAUCUUUCGCAAUGCCCGAAAGGGUGACGAAGCGACGCCGCGUGUGGGAAGAAGGCCUUCGGGUUGUAAACCACUGUCGGGAGUUAAGAAAUGUAAGGGUGUUAAUAGCAUCCUUACUUGACUAAGGCUCCGGAGGAAGCCACGGCUAACUCUGUGCCAGCAGCCGCGGUAAUACAGAGGCGGCAAGCGUCGUUCGGAAUUAUUGGGCGUAAAGAGCACGUAGGCGGCCUUGUAAGUCAGUUGUGAAAGCCUUCUGCUUAACGGAAGAACAGCAUCUGAUACUGCAAGGCUAGAGUACGGAAGGG